Molecule: ribosomal RNA, 640 nt
Filed under: Kryptopterus sp. ATG-3
Lineage: Eukaryota; Metazoa; Chordata; Actinopteri; Siluriformes; Siluridae
Description: partial large subunit ribosomal RNA
Rfam family: Bacterial large subunit ribosomal RNA
Source: RNAcentral
UCGCCUGUUUUCCAAAAACAUCGCCUCCUGCAAAAAUCAAUGUAUAGGAGGUCUUGCCUGCCCAGUGAUAAGUUAAACGGCCGCGGUAUUUUGACCGUGCGAAGGUAGCGCAAUCACUUGUCUUUUAAAUGAAGACCUGUAUGAAUGGUAGAACGAGGGCUUAACUGUCUCCCUUUUCCAGUCAAUGAAAUUGAUCUGCCCGUGCAGAAGCGGACAUAAAAAUACAAGACGAGAAGACCCUUUGGAGCUUAAGAUAAAAACCAACUAUGUCAAGAGCCAAAUAAAAUUAAGCUAAACUAAAUAUGCACCUGGUUAAUAUCUUCAGUUGGGGCGACUGCGGGAGAAAAUAAAGCUCCCACGAGGAUUGGGCCUAUUCCUAAAACCAAGAAAGCCACUUCUAAGUCACAGAACAUCUGACCACUUAAGAUCCGACCACCAGCCGAUCAACGGACCAAGUUACCCUAGGGAUAACAGCGCAAUCCCCUUUAAGAGUCCAUAUCGACAAGGGGGUUUACGACCUCGAUGUUGGAUCAGGACAUCCUAAUGGUGCAGCCGCUAUUAAGGGUUCGUUUGUUCAACGAUUAAAGUCCUACGUGAUCUGAGUUCAGACCGGAGCAAUCCAGGUCAGUUUUCUAUCUAA